Oncorhynchus masou masou (cherry salmon) is the source of this 2849-nucleotide long non-coding RNA. RefSeq lists it as uncharacterized. Lineage: Eukaryota; Metazoa; Chordata; Actinopteri; Salmoniformes; Salmonidae. The transcript is spliced from 6 exons. The record is from RefSeq and is a predicted model, not a curated record.
GGGUGAAAAAGAACAAUAAAUUAAACUGUUUAACCACAUAUGUGUUUGUAUUUGAAAACAUCAGGAGGUUUCGCGUAUUUGAGAGCAAAAACGUGUUUUUCACGAAUUCCCUCAUCACUUUAAAUAUUUUGAGUUCCCUGUGACGACACUCGCAUGAGUUAUCGGUCAGUAGCAGCAGACAAAAAUGGCGCAAAAUAACUUUGCAUUUCUUGCUUUGUUGGUUGUAACGUCAACAGUUACAUUGGCUAGUGCCGAUGAACAAACGAAAACUGUGGAAUUCAACGUAAAACCCGGCGGAAUGGUGCACACGUUCACUGAGAAAAUGUCUCAAUUUAAUCAUCAAGAAAAAUGUGCAGACGACUAAUUCCUCCUCCUUUCACUGAGAGAAUAUGAAUGUUCAUUCACAUAUGCAUCACAAGGGGGAACCAACGAGCAAUGGCUGAUGAGUGUGGGCCUGAGCGACGACGACAGUCUGUUCUCCUGCUCUUUGUGGAGACCCCAAGGGAAGUCCUACCUGUUUUUCACACAGUUCAAGGCUGAGCUGAAAGGAGCAAAGAUUGAGUAUUACAUUUACAUUUAAGUCAUUUAGCAGACGCUCUUAUCCAGAGCGACUUACAAAUUGGUGAAUUCACCUUCUGUAUGCCAGUGCAUAUGUAAGUAUCCACCAUAUACAGAUGGGUCAUGUAAUUUGCUCUCCUAUCAGCAUUUCUACAUAAUAAUGCAUUGGAGCACAAUCUUUGCUAACAUGUUUUUGUGGUGUAAAGUAGAUAAGGUAUAUGUCCAAUGUCAGCAUAUUGUCGCAGCAGCAUUGAUCCGUCUUCUCCGCUGGUCUCCUGGUUCAAGUGCGCUUCUGUCUGUCUCAGUGAUAAUGAUAUAGAACUGCAUAUCCUAAUGGAAACAUGUCUUCUCCAUUGACUUGAAUGUUGCUGUGUUCAGAGUACAAACAACUCUCAGACUAGUGUCACAUCACAUGUGAGUUGCACACAGUUCUAAGGCAGUGGUUCCUAAACCGGUCUGUUCUGUGUCUGUCCUCUGAUCUACUAUGUAAACUAGACUGAUGUUUGUAGUCAUGACGCAGUUUAUUGCCACAUUUUCACACAAAUCAAUGGCAACCCACCAGUGUUUACCAAAACACCAUACAGGGAAACACUGUUCUGAGGAGUCUGUCAGGCGAGGAGGCUUUGUACAUCGCCGCACAUACACUGCUCUCCCACAGGCCUCUUGACCAUCCUCCCUCGCAAGGACAAAGCCUCAGACAUACGCUGUCGUCAGAACAGAACCGUUCAACCUCUCCUCCUGACGGCACUGUCCCCUGUGAAAAGACAGAGAAAAAAACAACACUCACUAAACAUUGGGAUAAAAAUAACCAGCACUCCUGAGAAGCAGAACAUCUCCUCGACCUUGUCACUCCACUAUAACUCUCCUUGCCUCUGUCGUGAUGAGUUUCUCUCUUUUCCAUUCACACUUUCAUCCCCUUGUUUGUUAUCCCUUUUCUGGUCAAUCCCCUGCUCCCAUCUCUCCCCGUCAUCGUCUCCACAGUCCCAGACUGUGGCGGGAGGACAGAGGGAUGUGACUUUGAAGGAAGAUGAAUUCACUGUGGGGGAUUCUACAGUGACCCACAAAGAUGGGAAGUUCCGCGCUGAGCUCUCCAAACUGACUAUUAUUGGCCGGACACGACGCGAUGAGCUUUGAUUGGCUGGAAAUCCGAAUGACUGUUGUAAUAUCAUCAAAUGGUGACAUCCAGGCGUGCUCUCAAGGCAGGCCAUUGUGCUCUAAUGUCGACAACAGUGGCAAGUGAAGGACGAUAUUCAAGCACGAAGGACGAUACAGUAAUGAGUGACAGCCUUAGACCUUGGUGGUCUACAAAUAUGCUGUUGAAUAAAUCUAUUGUUUUUAUUUGGAGUAUUAUGGCUUUACAUGGAAAAUUCAUUAUGUUCCAUACUGUAUGAGAAUGCAUAUUGGGAUGUCUGAUCUUAACGGGUGUAGAGAGAUAUAGAUUCAGAGGAUGUAUUGGUAUUAUGCUAAGCCAGGGAAAUGUGAGUAAUCAUUUGUCUUCUUCGUGCGCACGUUAAGAUAUAUAUACAUUUUUCCAGUCUGCUUCUUCUCUAAGCAAGUGAAUGGUUAGUACAGAUAAUGUAGAGCAUGGAGCCCCAGUUUCUAUGUUCUUUUGAUCUAGAUAGAGCACCUGAUUCAACCAACCAAUCAUCAUUCAAUGCAGUUGAUUUAGUUUUUCUCCCUCCUCUCUCACUCCUACCAACAGUCUUAAUGAAGCUAGGUGGAGCUUUAGAACAGAUGCUUAUUUGGCCUUCCAGGAUUAGAGACAUAUUGCCUUGAUGUAGAGGAUAGUUAGCUUGCCAACACAUACAAGGUUCAUCCCUGUCUGUCUAGAGGAGGCCCUCACUCAGUGUUGAUAGUGGAGUCCCUUGGCUCCCAAAAGGAAAUACCACCGGGCACUUUUUUAAAUAUUUUAUUUUCUACUCCUUUGAUUUCUAAAUCACAAUGUGCAACUGAUGCUCCAAUAAAAGUCAUAUUGUCUGGGAAUGUGAAAUGUGUGUUCUUAUUUGUUUUGACACAGCUAAGAUUUCACACUGCUGUCCAUGCUCAGGUUUGAUGGUUUUCAGCUUGGAUUACUUUCAGAGUUCUGUGUGCUGAUCUCAUGCUCUUUUUUUAUAUUAUUAGGACACACAUUUUCAGUCCAGAAUAUUCCAACAUUAUUACGUUCCUUAUGAAAAUGUAGCUAUAACACAAAGACAAUUCAAUGUGCAUAAUGUUUUUGGGCUGUUUGCAAACAAUGUAAAAGAAAUAAUGAUAAAAUUGUUGAGUUAAUAAAGCCGAAUACAAACAUGGUC